UACGGGGGGGGCAAGCGUUGUUCGGAGUUACUGGGCGUAAAGGGCUCGUAGGCGGCCAACUAAGUCGGAUGUGAAAUCCCCAGGCUCAACCUGGGAACUGCAUCCGAUACUGGAUGGCUUGAAUCCGGGAGAGGGAUGCAGAAUUCCAGGUGUAGCGGUGAAAUGCGUAGAUAUCUGGAGGAAUACCGGUGGCGAAGGCGGCAUCCUGGACCGGCAUUGACGCUGAGGAGCGAAAGCUAGGGGAGCAAACGGG
This 253-nucleotide ribosomal RNA is filed under the name uncultured bacterium. Its description in RNAcentral is "partial 16S ribosomal RNA". It matches the Rfam family "Bacterial small subunit ribosomal RNA", at positions 524 to 776 of the family's 1533-position model. The record is from RNAcentral.